RNAcentral lists this ribosomal RNA (460 nucleotides) under uncultured bacterium. Its description in RNAcentral is "partial 16S ribosomal RNA". It matches the Rfam family "Bacterial small subunit ribosomal RNA", at positions 338 to 795 of the family's 1533-position model. The record is from RNAcentral.
CCUACGGGGGGCAGCAGUGAGGAAUAUUGGUCAAUGGACGAGAGCCUGAACCAGCCAAGUAGCGUGAAGGAUGACUGCCCUAUGGGUUGUAAACUUCUUUUAUAAGGGAAUAAAGUGAUGCACGUGUGCGUUUUUGUAUGUACUAUAUGAAUAAGGAUCGGCUAACUCCGUGCCAGCAGCCGCGGUAAUACGGAGGAUCCGAGCGUUAUCCGGAUUUAUUGGGUUUAAAGGGAGCGUAGGUGGGUUGUUAAGUAAGUUGUGAAAGUUUGCGGCUCAACCGUAAAAUUGCAAUUGAAACUGGCAGUCUUGAGUACAGUAGAGGUGGGCGGAAUUCGUGGUGUAGCGGUGAAAUGCUUAGAUAUCACGAAGAACUCCGACUGCGAAGGCAGCUCACUGGACUGCAACUGACACUGAUGCUCGAAAGUGUGGGUAUCAAACAGGAUUAGAUACCCUGGUAGUC